CACGGGAAAUUGCCCAAGAUACGGCGAGUGAUUUCGCAUCAGCAGCUGUUUGAGCUCUCGGCUUCGGCCCGAGUUGUAAUUUGUGGAGGAUGCUUUGGGCGCGGCGCCUACUGAGUUCCCUGGAACGGGACGCCACAGAGGGUGAGAGCCCCGUAUAGUUGGAUGCCUAGCCUAUGUAAAGCUCCUUCGACGAGUCGAGUAGUUUGGGAAUGCUGCUCAAAAUGGGAGGUAAAUUUCUUCUAAAGCUAAAUACCGGCCAGAGACCGAUAGCGCACAAGUAGAGUGAUCGAAAGAUGAAAAGCACUUUGAAAAGAGGGUUAAAUAGCACGUGAAAUUGUUGAAAGGGAAGCGCUUGUGACCAGACUUGCGCGGGGCAGAUCAUCCGGUGUUCUCACCGGUGCACUCUGCCCGGCUCAGGCCAGCAUCGGUUCUCGUGGGGGGAUAAAGGUCUCGGGAACGUAGCUCUUUCGGGAGUGUUAUAGCCCGGGGCGUAAUGCCCUCGCGGGGACCGAGGUUCGCGCAUCUGCAAGGAUGCUGGCGUAAUGGUCAUCAGCGACCCGUCUUGAACCACGGACCC
Molecule: ribosomal RNA, 577 nt
Filed under: Trichocladium seminis-citrulli
Lineage: Eukaryota; Fungi; Ascomycota; Sordariomycetes; Sordariales; Chaetomiaceae
Description: eukaryotic LSU rRNA
Rfam family: Eukaryotic large subunit ribosomal RNA
Source: RNAcentral